GCGGAUGUGGUGGAAUUGGUAUACACGCCAGUCUUAGGAACUGGUGCCGAAAGGCGUGGAGGUUCGAGUCCUCUCAUCCGCACCA
RNAcentral lists this transfer RNA (85 nucleotides) under bacterium. RNAcentral describes it as "tRNA-Leu". It matches the Rfam family "tRNA". From Rfam's summary of the family: Transfer RNA (tRNA) molecules are approximately 80 nucleotides in length. Their secondary structure includes four short double-helical elements and three loops (D, anti-codon, and T loops). The record is from RNAcentral.